GCAUGUCAGUAUGUCUUGAUUGUUUCGUUAUUUUUUAAAACUUAAAACUAUAACUCUUAUUACACGAAGCCGCCAUUUUUGAGAGAGAACUAUUAGAUAUUACUACAAUAAUCGUAAUCCGUUCAGCGGAUAUGUCGAGCAUAGGUGACAAAAUCGCUUGGAUCGUUUUUAAGCGGUUUAGAUUUAGAAGGGGAGGGUCGAUUUUGAUUGGAUUUCUAGAUCGAUAUUUAAGCAUGGUAAUUAGAAUAUUAGUGUCGUCUGCUGUCGUUUUGAAAAAAGUUUCGAUAAAGAGACACAGUUUAAGAUUACAUUAAGAAAAUGGAGGGAUUUUGAAAAGGUUACACUUGGCUGCACGAUAAUUUUAAACAAAUAAAUUUAAAAAAUGUGGUCGUCGUGUGGUUGUGUCAACUCUGGUCGCCUCUCUUUAUAGAAUCGCUCAAUUACACACUCUGGCCAUGCUGUUCAGCAGAUUUUAGGCCUGAGCCAGCCAUCGUAACAACAAGAUAAUAUGCCAGUAUUGCUUGUGCUGAUAUUGAGGAGUCAAGAGCAACAAUCUCAGCAUCAUCUCUUGGAUAAACAGCAGCCCGUUUGAUUGGAGAAACUACCCAUGUCGGUCGAGUUCAGAUCUCUUCUUCCCUUUUCUUUAAAUUCACUCUGCCC
Daphnia pulicaria is the source of this 660-nucleotide long non-coding RNA. RefSeq lists it as uncharacterized. NCBI's taxonomy places the organism in Eukaryota, Metazoa, Arthropoda, Branchiopoda, Diplostraca, Daphniidae. The record is from RefSeq and is a predicted model, not a curated record. The transcript is spliced from 3 exons.